CCCAAGCCUGAAUAACUCCCACGCUUCACAUUAGGAUGUUCUUAUCACAGAAAAUUCACUUAAAAAACUGUACAUUAGCUUAGCAAGUCUUAUUAUUUUAUUGUUUUGGCUUUCGUACCGGUUUCCGACUCAUUAAUAAUGGGCGAUUAAUCCAGCUCAUGCGUAUGCGCACUGGCCAAAACAAGUCUUAUUAUUACCCAAUUUUCCAACGGGAACCUUGUCUAACAACCACCUUGGCACUGAAAAUGCUACGCCAAACAAAGCUUGGAUUAUGUCCCACUUCGACUCCAGGUAGCUACUAUUAGGGUAAUACUCGACUUUAAAAAUUCUUGAAACUAAACUAUCUGAAUCAGUUUGUAGUUUCCAGCCCGUUUUUCCAAGCAUUGCAACAUUAAAAGCUACCAAAUCUUUGAAAUCCAUACUUCCAUGGUUUUUGUGCACCGAUAACUUUUCCCAAGAUAACCAAUGAAACCCUUUGUUACUUGUACCUCCAUGUCCCCACCAGGAGGCAUUCAUCAUUUUUUCAAUUUCAUCUAGGAGUGUAUUUGGUUAUCUGAAUAUACUCAUAUUGUUGAAAAGCAACUAUAUACAUAUAUCUAUGAGUGAAAAUUAAAAUAAUAAAGUUCCCUUGAGCAUCCAACAAGUUGUUUCUUAGAUGUUUCUAAUUCACGUAUGGUGCUAGCAAAAAAUGAUUGUUGUAUUAUAGAGAGUACUAGCUAUGAGACCAACUGCAUCGGAUAACCUAUCCAUGGUGGUGAAAUACUCUUAAGUCCAAUUUGAAGAAUGAUGUUUAAGGCUUAGGCUUCUAUGUUAUACAUUUUGGUGAGGGGAUGGUGCCUCAGUCCAAGGCAGGGAAGACCUUCGAACACAAAGAUCACUUACAAAGGUAAUUACAUUUACCUCCCUCCAAAAGCACUAGCGGGACUCGAACCCAGAUUCUCUCGAAUUUAAAACCUGUCUUUUUACCACUAGACCAAGCCUUUGGAGUUUUCUAAGUUAUUGUUUAAAGUCCAUAUGAAGCAAUGCAUCCAAAACUCUUAAAAAUCAAUUUUGGGCAUAUGUAACCGGUUUCACCUUACAUGGUAACCAGUUACAACAAUUGAAAAUUUGAAAAAAAUUAACGUUGGAAGGUGUAACCGGUUGCACCUCAUAUGAUAACAGUAUACCACCUUCGGAAAAUCAAAUUUUAUGAAUGGUUGUCAUUUCAAAUAUGUUUCUAUUCAUUUGAGACCUUUAUAAAUCAUAAGUUUAAGAAUGGGUGCCAUUUCAAUUUUAUGAAAGGUAGCAUUGCUUCGUAAACAUAUUUACAACCUCUAUAAAACCAAUUGAGCUCAUAACCAUUUCAACAACUUUCAUAUUCUCAAUUGUGAAUUUCAAUAUCAUUUGCAUUCAAAACUCUCACUCUUGUUUUUGAAAAACUUCGUCCGUACUUUAACAUUCACAAAAAGUUUUUCUGAGCACUAAGUUCAUAUUGUUAAAGUGAUAUUGAUCAAGAUAAACAUCUAUACAAAUUAUUCUUCAUUUAUUUUGUAAAAAGUUUCUCGCCAUUGUUUCUGCGAAUUGUUGUAAAAUAUAGUGGGGUGCUGUCUUGGAGUAUAAAAAUAUUGUUAGGGUGUCUUGGAUUGAGGUUACUGUAACAAAGAUUCAUACAUAGUAAAAAUCCUUCACGUGGUGUGAAGGGAGUGGAUGUACCCUUAAAUUUUAAGAGAAACCGCUAUAAUUCUCUUGUGUUAU
Medicago truncatula (barrel medic) is the source of this 1734-nucleotide long non-coding RNA. RefSeq lists it as uncharacterized. The transcript has 3 exons. Lineage: Eukaryota; Viridiplantae; Streptophyta; Magnoliopsida; Fabales; Fabaceae. The record is from RefSeq and is a predicted model, not a curated record.